Molecule: ribosomal RNA, 108 nt
Filed under: bacterium enrichment culture clone 4/04bandL
Lineage: Bacteria
Description: partial 16S ribosomal RNA
Rfam family: Bacterial small subunit ribosomal RNA
Source: RNAcentral
GUAAAGCACUUUCAGUGGGGAGAAAGCCUUGGGUCCAAUACCCUCGAGGAAGGACAUCACCCACAGAAGAAGCACCGGCUAACUCCGUGCCAGCAGCCGCGGUAAUAC